GGGGCUGACUAUAGCUUUCGACGAGAGGAAUUUAACAGAUCAUUUUGCAAGUCGAUCGUACACGUUACGUACACUUUUUUAAUUGCUAAAACAACUAAAGAACGACUCGCUAACGCGAUUGCACGAGUAACAACUCCUGCUCAAUCAAGUUACGCAUUAGCAGCCUAGGCUGCGUCCAUUCGAUAUCAACAGGCGACAUACUGAUCUCGAAUGUUAUAUUUAUGUCGCUUACUCCAGCGUUGCGCAGCGGCGGUUCUGGAGGACACUUUGCCGCGUGACAUUCUAUUCGUUUCUGUUUAUCUUAUAGAACAAAAUGUCGUAAAGAAUAAAGAUAAAAUAAACUUGUAGAUAAAUGAUCAGUUACUUCUCGGACCGGGGUGCGAUUCCCCGCAGCUCCACCA
RNAcentral lists this transfer-messenger RNA (401 nucleotides) under Candidatus Saccharibacteria bacterium RIFCSPHIGHO2_01_FULL_45_15. It matches the Rfam family "transfer-messenger RNA". From Rfam's summary of the family: Bacterial tmRNA, also known as 10Sa RNA or SsrA, is named for its dual tRNA and mRNA-like properties. Its role is to liberate the mRNA from a stalled ribosome. The record is from RNAcentral. RNAcentral also lists the same sequence under 3 other names. Lineage: Bacteria; Candidatus Saccharimonadota.